Panonychus citri (citrus red mite) is the source of this 2192-nucleotide long non-coding RNA. RefSeq lists it as uncharacterized. The record is from RefSeq and is a predicted model, not a curated record. NCBI's taxonomy places the organism in Eukaryota, Metazoa, Arthropoda, Arachnida, Trombidiformes, Tetranychidae. The transcript has 5 exons.
AAAUUGACUGUUAACAAUUAAGAAAUAAUAUUUACCACAAUUAGUAUAAUAUUUUUGUUUCUUUUCUAUUUUUUUUUCAGGUUUUCGUUUCGUUCACCUAAGACGGAGGAUAAAUUAACUUAAUAACAUAUCAGAGAUUAUAAUACAAUUUAAUUUAUUUCAAACUAAUGAUGCCAAUGGAUAAACAAUUAACGACACUUUUUGAUUAGCUAUAUUCAACUGAUCAAAUGAUGAAUAUCAUCUAUGUGACUUGAAUUUCAAGCUACAAACUACAUUUGGUUAUCAUGAGGUGUUGAACUAAAUUCAACAGAUUCAUUGAUGUAUUGAUAUGAAAAUUUUUGUUCCAACAAAAGGAAUAAAAAACUUUUGAUCUCAAUUGCCUAACGAAUCAAAAGUUUGACAUUUAACCAAAGUUGAUGAAAAGCAAUUAACAUAAUUGUGAUUAUCUCAUGUUUCUCAUGAUUAUUAUCCAAUAAUUACCCAACCAACCUGUUGAAGAGUUUAACAAGAAGAAUAAAGAAAAGUUCUGAGUAGCAAUAAGAUUUCCUUGUAGACCAACAAAUAUAUGACAUUAGAACUUUUUUUUCCUUCUUUUUCCUAUUCGAACUUGACAUUUUUGAGUGAAAGUGAUCGAAACUUUUUCUUUUUCUUUUAAAGAUAGAAAAAGUUUUUUCUUUCAUUUUUUUUCUCACCUUUCUAGUUAAUUAAAUUCUAAUCUCAUUAUCGAUCUUAACAUCUUAAUUAAUAUACUGUAGAUAAUGAUGAUCAUCAAGAUGAACUAAAAAGUUUCACCUUUUCGAAUGAUUUUUUUUUCUCGAAAAAAUCAUCAUUUCGAUUCUAUCAAUGAUAAUGAGCUCACUAAAGUUAAUCUUCAUCUCUUUAAUGGCUUCAUCCCUUCAUUUCACACCUGAAGAAAAACUAAUCUUAAAUAUCUAAUUGUUUGAUUAGUAUUUUGUAUUCAAAUGAAUUCAAAUUGUUAAUCAAUGUGAAGUCUCAAAAAUUUACCUGACGAUCAGUUAACUCAUAUGAAUAUAAUUUAAUCAAUUCUAUCUUCUUACCUUACAGAUUAUAACUUUUUCUCCAUCAUCAUUAUCAUCCUACUCUCAUUAAAUGUUGGAUAUUUACCUUAAAUACUUUUUUUUUGGAAAGUUCAAUAACAGAAUCAACUUUCCACCCAUGUUGAUAAACUUAAUUUCAUCCAAAGUGAACACAAUCAUUUAAAAUAUAUAUGAAAUUAAACAAACCCCCGAGGCGAGAGUCAAAAGUUGAUCAUGGUGAUGUGACUGUUAUCAUUUACUUUUGGUUAUUAUUAUGGUUGAUGGAGGUAAAAAAAGUUCUUAAAGCAGUUUCAUUGACCUUUCGAGUUUAAAUUGGUUCAUCAUUUUAUUCAUUAUCUUGAGAGAAUAACUAGAAAAAUAAUAACUUUCAGCGAUAAUAAUGAUGGUGAAAAUGACGGUGAUUUAAUCGUGAAGAAGCAAGUUUCAAAUUCCCAGGCAAAUUUCCCCGAUAUUGAAAUAAAUGAACCAAAUCCAAUGGACUCUCAUGAAAUGGGAAUUGGUUGACUGGUCAGUUGAUGGCUACACAUUUUACUCUCUCAUCCACUUGUCAUCAUCAUGAUUAUUAUCAUUAUUCAGUGAUACUUCAAUCUCAAUUUCAUCAGAAAAUUGAGUUUCUUUCUUUCUCCCUGUUUCCAUGAUAAAGUAAUUAAGGACCAAAAAAGACUAGGAAAUAAUUAUUUUCUUGUCCAUCAUUGGUUAAUAAUCGAAUAUCUGAUUUUCGUUGUCCAACAUAAAAAAUCUGAUGGACUUUAAUGGACUCGAAUUGGAUAAUAAUAUUGGUGAAAUUCUGAAUUUCGAUUGGUUCAUUUACUUACAAUGAUGUACUUCCACUUGGUGAAGGUGUACUCAGGGGAGAUGGACUUCUACUUGAUUCGAUUUUGCAUUUGGGGGAUGUGGUCUCUUCGAUUGUACCUUCAUCUGAUCGGUGUUCCAACUGCUGAUGGCCCAUGGAUGAGGCUCGUUGAUGGUGUUGAUGAGAAUGAUGAGUUGAUAUUAAAGUUGUUGGUGUUUUCUUGGUUUGCAAUUGUUGAGAAAGGUGGUAACUCGUCACAAAUUUGAUGAAAAUAAAGGGAUGCGGAUUUUUUACCAGUUAGUGCUGAAGUUGCAUCUUUGGAGGAACAAAUUGAUUCCUGG